CGUCCUAUUAGCUAGUUGGUGAGGUAAUGGCUCACCAAGGCUACGAUGGGUAGGGGUUCUUAGUGGAAGGUCCCCCACACUGGCACUGAGAUACGGGCCAGACUCCUACGGGAGGCAGCAGUAGGGAAUAUUGGUCAAUGGGCGCAAGCCUGAACCAGCCAUGCCGCGUGCAGGAUGAAGGCUCUCUGAGUUGUAAACUGCUUUUGUACAGGAGCAAAAAAAUCCCUGCGGGGGUUCUUGAGAGUACUGUAAGAAUAAGCACCGGCUAAUUCCGUGCCAGCAGCCGCGGUAAUACGGGAGGUGCGAGCGUUAUCCGGUUUUAUUGGUUUAAAGGGUGCGUAGGCGGCUUAUUAAGUCAGUUGUGAAAUCCUAGUGCUUAACGCUAGAACUGCAAUUGAUACUAUU
This 405-nucleotide ribosomal RNA is filed under the name Cardinium endosymbiont of Bemisia tabaci. RNAcentral describes it as "bacterial SSU rRNA". It matches the Rfam family "Bacterial small subunit ribosomal RNA", at positions 234 to 637 of the family's 1533-position model. Lineage: Bacteria; Pseudomonadati; Bacteroidota; Cytophagia; Cytophagales; Amoebophilaceae. The record is from RNAcentral.